UGGGUAACCUGCCUGUAAGACUGGGAUAACUCCGGGAAACCGGGGCUAAUACCGGAUGGUUGUUUGAACCGCAUGGUUCAAACAUAAAAGGUGGCUUCGGCUACCACUUACAGAUGGACCCGCGGCGCAUUAGCUAGUUGGUGAGGUAACGGCUCACCAAGGCAACGAUGCGUAGCCGACCUGAGAGGGUGAUCGGCCACACUGGGACUGAGACACGGCCCAGACUCCUACGGGAGGCAGCAGUAGGGAAUCUUCCGCAAUGGACGAAAGUCUGACGGAGCAACGCCGCGUGAGUGAUGAAGGUUUUCGGAUCGUAAAGCUCUGUUGUUAGGGAAGAACAAGUACCGUUCGAAUAGGGCGGUACCUUGACGGUACCUAACCAGAAAGCCACGGCUAACUACGUGCCAGCAGCCGCGGUAAUACGUAGGUGGCAAGCGUUGUCCGGAAUUAUUGGGCGUAAAGGGCUCGCAGGCGGUUUCUUAAGUCUGAUGUGAAAGCC
This 499-nucleotide ribosomal RNA is filed under the name Bacillus tequilensis. RNAcentral's name for it is "bacterial SSU rRNA". It matches the Rfam family "Bacterial small subunit ribosomal RNA", at positions 118 to 602 of the family's 1533-position model. RNAcentral also lists the same sequence under 1 other name. The record is from RNAcentral. Lineage: Bacteria; Bacillati; Bacillota; Bacilli; Caryophanales; Bacillaceae.